UACGAAGGGGGCUAGCGUUGCUCGGAAUCACUGGGCGUAAAGCGCACGUAGGCGGAUCGUUAAGUCAGGGGUGAAAUCCUGGAGCUCAACUCCAGAACUGCCUUUGAUACUGGCGACCUUGAGUUCGGGAGAGGUGAGUGGAACUGCGAGUGUAGAGGUGAAAUUCGUAGAUAUUCGGAGGAACACCAGUGGCGAAGGCGGCUCACUGGUCCAUUACUGACGCUGAGGUGCGAAAGCGUGGGGAGCAAACAGG
Molecule: ribosomal RNA, 253 nt
Filed under: uncultured bacterium
Lineage: Bacteria
Description: partial 16S ribosomal RNA
Rfam family: Bacterial small subunit ribosomal RNA
Source: RNAcentral